GGUAGUCGUAUCCGGUGGUACGGCCGGGCUUCAAACCCGGUUGGGGGUGUCAGACACUCCCGGGUCGGUUCGACUCCGGCUGCCUUCCGCCA
RNAcentral lists this transfer RNA (92 nucleotides) under Burkholderia cepacia. RNAcentral's name for it is "tRNA-Sec". It matches the Rfam family "Selenocysteine transfer RNA". Lineage: Bacteria; Pseudomonadati; Pseudomonadota; Betaproteobacteria; Burkholderiales; Burkholderiaceae. The record is from RNAcentral. RNAcentral also lists the same sequence under 1 other name.